Molecule: ribosomal RNA, 779 nt
Filed under: uncultured bacterium
Lineage: Bacteria
Description: bacterial SSU rRNA
Rfam family: Bacterial small subunit ribosomal RNA
Source: RNAcentral
AGAGUUUGAUCCUGGCUCAGAACGAACGCUGGCGGCGUGCUUAACACAUGCAAGUCGAACGGUGAUCCUAAGAGCUUGCUCUUGGGUGAGCAGUGGCGAACGGGUGAGUAACACGUGAGUAACCUGCCCCUGACUCUGGAAUAAGCGCUGGAAACGGCGUCUAAUACCGGAUAUGACACCAAUCCGCAUGGGUAUAGUGUGGAAAGUUUUUCGGUUGGGGAUGGACUCGCGGCCUAUCAGCUUGUUGGUGAGGUAAUGGCUCACCAAGGCGAUGACGGGUAGCCGGCCUGAGAGGGCGAUCGGCCACACUGGGACUGAGACACGGCCCAGACUCCUACGGGAGGCAGCAGUGGGGAAUAUUGCACAAUGGGCGCAAGCCUGAUGCAGCGACGCCGCGUGAGGGAUGACGGCCUUCGGGUUGUAAACCUCUUUCAGCAGGGAAGAAGCGAAAGUGACGGUACCUGCAGAAGAAGCACCGGCUAACUACGUGCCAGCAGCCGCGGUAAUACGUAGGGUGCGAGCGUUGUCCGGAAUUAUUGGGCGUAAAGAGCUUGUAGGCGGUUUGUCGCGUCUGCUGUGAAAAUCCGGGGCUCAACCCCGGACUUGCAGUGGGUACGGGCAGACUAGAGUGUGGUAGGGGAGACUGGAAUUCCUGGUGUAGCGGUGAAAUGCGCAGAUAUCAGGAGGAACACCGAUGGCGAAGGCAGGUCUCUGGGCCACUACUGACGCUGAGAAGCGAAAGCAUGGGGAGCGAACAGGAUUAGAUACCCUGGUAGUCG